Molecule: ribosomal RNA, 381 nt
Filed under: uncultured bacterium
Lineage: Bacteria
Description: bacterial SSU rRNA
Rfam family: Bacterial small subunit ribosomal RNA
Source: RNAcentral
UGGGGAAUCUUGGACAAUGGGCGAAAGCCUGAUCCAGCAAUGCCGCGUGAGUGAAGAAGGCCUUCGGGUUGUAAAGCUCUUUUGUCAGGGAAGAAACGGUGAGAGCUAAUAUCUCUUGCUAAUGACGGUACCUGAAGAAUAAGCACCGGCUAACUACGUGCCAGCAGCCGCGGUAAUACGUAGGGUGCAAGCGUUAAUCGGAAUUACUGGGCGUAAAGCGUGCGCAGGCGGUUUUGUAAGUCUGAUGUGAAAUCCCCGGGCUCAACCUGGGAAUUGCAUUGGAGACUGCAAGGCUAGAAUCUGGCAGAGGGGGGUAGAAUUCCACGUGUAGCAGUGAAAUGCGUAGAUAUGUGGAGGAACACCGAUGGCGAAGGCAGCCCC